RNAcentral lists this ribosomal RNA (497 nucleotides) under uncultured bacterium. Its description in RNAcentral is "partial 16S ribosomal RNA". It matches the Rfam family "Bacterial small subunit ribosomal RNA", at positions 28 to 507 of the family's 1533-position model. The record is from RNAcentral.
GACGAACGCUGGCGGCGUGCCUAAUACAUGCAAGUUGAGCGAUGAAGAUUGGUGCUUGCACCAAUUUGAAGAGCAGCGAACGGGUGAGUAACGCGUGGGUAAUCUGCCUUUGAGCGGGGGACAACAUUUGGAAACGAAUGCUAAUACCGCAUAACAACUUUAAACAUAAGUUUUAAGUUUGAAAGAUGCAAUUGCAUCACUCAAAGAUGAUCCCGCGUUGUAUUAGCUAGUUGGUGAGGUAAAGGCUCACCAAGGCGAUGAUACAUAGCCGACCUGAGAGGGUGAGUGGCCACAUUGGGACUGAGACACGGCCCAAACUCCUACGGGAGGCAGCAGGAGGGAAUCUUCGGCAAUGGACGAAAGUCUGACCGAGCAACGCCGCGUGAGUGAAGAAGGUUGUCGGAUCGGAAAACUCGGUUGGUAGAGAAGAACGUUGGUGAGAGUGGAAAGCUCAUCAAGUGACGGUAACUACACAGAAAGGGACGGCUAACUACGUG